AGCGAACGCUGGCGGCAGGCUUAACACAUGCAAGUCGAGCGGGCGUAGCAAUACGUCAGCGGCAGACGGGUGAGUAACGCGUGGGAACAUACCUUUUGGUUCGGAACAACACAGGGAAACUUGUGCUAAUACCGGAUAAGCCCUUACGGGGAAAGAUUUAUCGCCGAAAGAUUGGCCCGCGUCUGAUUAGCUAGUUGGUGAGGUAAUGGCUCACCAAGGCGACGAUCAGUAGCUGGCUGAGAGGAUGAUCAGCCACAUUGGGACUGAGACACGGCCCAAACUCCUACGGGAGGCAGCAGUGGGGAAUAUUGGACAAUGGGCNCAAGCCUGAUCCAGCCAUGCCGCGUGAGUGAUGAAGGCCCUAGGGUUGUAAAGCUCUUUUGUGC
RNAcentral lists this ribosomal RNA (386 nucleotides) under uncultured bacterium. Its description in RNAcentral is "bacterial SSU rRNA". It matches the Rfam family "Bacterial small subunit ribosomal RNA", at positions 29 to 441 of the family's 1533-position model. The record is from RNAcentral.